GAACAAAAGGGGGCAAAGAAGUUGAUGUGUGUGGUUAUCAUUAGGUGAACUAUAUGAAGUGAAAAAGCCCUCAAAGGUCAUUUGUUAAAGUAGUUCUCUCUUUUGUGGUAAUUAGUUUUGAUCGUAGGUCUUUGCCAUCAAUCUAUUCUAUGCCCAAGUUUAGUGUUGGUCUUGUGGGUUUCAACUAUCUCCUCCAAAAAACUAUAGGGUAGCUAGACAGUAACAAGCUGCUUGGCAGUCAAGUUCUGCCCUGUUCUCAGCACCAGACACUUAGUGUCUAAAUACUGUUUGAGCUAUUUUUGUAAUUCCUAAAUUGAUUACUGCUGAGAUUUUUGUGCUAUUGGACCUAAAUUAGUGCUGCAAAAACAAUAUAUUUCUUUUUAAAUGAAAUAAUGCUUGUCAUUUGCAACAAUGAUCAAACAUGUGUUUGUGUUGAUGGUUAUUGACACCACUGUGGCUGAACUUUGCAUGCGUUAUUUUGAUUUUGCCACUUAUUAAUAUGAGUCUUAAAGAUCUGUUUCUAACACUCACUGUAACGAUCUUGAUUGAGUUUGCUAGUGAAUCUAAACAUUCUAGUUUUUCAACUGGUUUAUUAUCUUCAAGGUAUCUGAACAUUCUAGAUGUGUUGGGUAUUAGUCGAAGCAGCUAGAUUUUAAUUGCCAAGUAAAUAGACGUAUCUUAAUUCCCUACAUGAACAAAAUAUUCUUGGAUACUAGAACAAUAUUCUAGUGAAUAUGAAGGGAAAAACUAUGUCUUGUUCAAGGAAAGAAAAGUAGAAGGGGAAAGAGAAAUAAAUUUCUGCAUGUGGAAGUCACCAUAUUGGUGUAUGUUCAAGGUCUCUUAGUUUCCAAUAUGUGGGUUAUUCUUGGUUAUUUAAUUACAUAUUUGCUGUUUUUGUUCCUUUUUUUUUUCAGAAAUUAUUUCACUAUUGCUUAUUUUUACUAGGCUGAAGAGUAUAAUCUAUCAUUUUCGGGGAAACAGAGAGUUUGUACGGCUACGAAUUGGUAUUGGUAGGCCGCCAGGUCAGAUGGAUCCUAAGGCAUUCUUGCUGCAAAAGUUUAAUGCAUCGGCUCGAGAACGAAUUGAUACGGCUUUGCAAGAGGGAGUUGAUGGAUUGAAGCUUGUUUUAUCUAAAGGGUUGACAGAGAGUGCAAGAUGCUUCAACACCGCACAAAAGUACAAGCAUAUAAGAUUGCAAAACAUGCCAAUCUGAAGAAUGUUGGGAUGGGAUCAUCUGUAUAAACAUGUCUUUACAUUAUUCUCAUAUAGGGAGCCCUGUAGAUUUUGAGACAAUUUUGAAAGUAUUCUAUUUUUCUUAGCUUCAAAACAGAAAUGGAGUGAAGUUUGCAGCAUAUUCUUGUUUUGACAUAGCAGAAUAACGGACAGCAGUAGCUUUCUCAUAUAUCUGGUAAUAAUUC
This is a non-coding RNA of Durio zibethinus, 1418 nucleotides long. Lineage: Eukaryota; Viridiplantae; Streptophyta; Magnoliopsida; Malvales; Malvaceae. The record is from RefSeq and is a predicted model, not a curated record.